AUACGCCAUCUCCUUCCUCCAUUCAACCGCCAACCACAACACCCCCUUCCUCAUCGACGCCGCCACCUCACCUACUCCACCUUCAUCCGCCACAUCGCCUCUCUCUCCGCCUCCGUGAAAUCCCUCAUCUCCUACAACGACGUCGCACUCAUCCUCUCCCCGGCCUCCCUCUGCAUCCUUGUUCUCUACUUGUCUCUCCUCUCUCUAGGAGUCGUCGUCUCCCCCUCCAACCCGCUCUCCUCCCCCGCCGACUUCACGCACCAAAUCUGCAUCAGAACAGAGGUGGAUCGAUGGGGUUGCAGAUUGUGGUGGGUUUUCAUGGAGGGGAUUUUCAGGAGAAACACUAUGAAUUUCUAUAAAUUGAAGGGGUUUUUUUCUUUUUGAAGAAAGGAAAUCGAUUCAUAAAUGCUUUGAAUUUGUAGAAAUUUGGAGAAAGCAAAUCGAUUCUUUUUUUCUUUCUUUCAAAAAGGGAUUUUUGUGGAGGAACACUAUGAAUUUGUAGAAAUUGAAGGAAUCGAUUUACAGGAGAGGAAUUUGAAAUUUGAAUCGAUUGUGUUUGUGUUAUGCCUUUUCUGUGAACAAGUUUGAGGAUUGGACGACGAUGCUGAACUUGAGGUUCUGGGACGGAGGCGGGAGAGGGACGGCGGUGUGUGCUGAGACGGUGGUGGUUUGUGUGCUAAGAUGGCGGCGGGAGAGGGACGACGGUGGACGGUG
Molecule: long non-coding RNA, 714 nt
Filed under: Salvia miltiorrhiza (redroot sage)
Lineage: Eukaryota; Viridiplantae; Streptophyta; Magnoliopsida; Lamiales; Lamiaceae
Description: long non-coding RNA (SMIL_LNC011853)
Source: RNAcentral